Molecule: ribosomal RNA, 253 nt
Filed under: uncultured bacterium
Lineage: Bacteria
Description: partial 16S ribosomal RNA
Rfam family: Bacterial small subunit ribosomal RNA
Source: RNAcentral
UACGUAGGGAGCAAGCGUUGUCCGGAAUCAUUGGGCGUAAAGCGCGCGUAGGUGGCCCCAUAAGUCCGCUGUGAAAGUCAAAGGCUCAACCUUUGAAAGCCGGUGGAUACUGUCGGGCUCGAGUCCGGAAGAGGCGAGUGGAAUUCCUGGUGUAGCGGUGAAAUGCGCAGAUAUCAGGAGGAACACCAAUGGCGAAGGCAGCUCGCUGGGACGUGACUGACGCUGAGACGCGAAAGCGUGGGGAGCAAACAGG